CCUACGGGUGGCAGCAGUGGGGAAUAUUGCACAAUGGGGGAAACCCUGAUGCAGCAACGCCGCGUGAGUGAUGAAGUAUUUCGGUAUGUAAAGCCCUAUCAGCAGGGAAGAAAAUGACGGUAUCUGAUUAAGAAGCACCGGCUAACUACGUGCCAGCAGCCGCGGUAAUACGUAGGGGGCAAGCGUUAUCCGGAUUUACUGGGUGUAAAGGGAGCGUAGACGGCAGCACAAGUCUGGAGUGAAAUGCCAGGGCUUAACCACGGAACUGCUUUGGAAACUGUGCAGCUAGAGUGUAGGAGAGGUAAGUGGAAUUCCUAGUGUAGCGGUGAAAUGCGUAGAUAUUAGGAGGAACACUAGUGGCGAAGGCGGCUUGCUGGACUGUAACUGACGUUGAGGCGCGAAAGCGUGGGGAGCAAACAGGAUUAGAUACCCCGGUAGUC
RNAcentral lists this ribosomal RNA (440 nucleotides) under uncultured bacterium. Its description in RNAcentral is "partial 16S ribosomal RNA". It matches the Rfam family "Bacterial small subunit ribosomal RNA", at positions 338 to 795 of the family's 1533-position model. The record is from RNAcentral.